RNAcentral lists this signal recognition particle RNA (324 nucleotides) under Homo sapiens (human). RNAcentral describes it as "Metazoan signal recognition particle RNA". It matches the Rfam family "Metazoan signal recognition particle RNA". From Rfam's summary of the family: The signal recognition particle (SRP) is a universally conserved ribonucleoprotein. It is involved in the co-translational targeting of proteins to membranes. The eukaryotic SRP consists of a 300-nucleotide 7S RNA and six proteins: SRPs 72, 68, 54, 19, 14, and 9. The record is from Rfam by way of RNAcentral. Lineage: Eukaryota; Metazoa; Chordata; Mammalia; Primates; Hominidae.
GCCAGGUGUGGUGGUGGGCGCCUGUAGUCCCAGCUACUCGGGAGGCUGAGGCAGGAGAAUGGCCUGAACCCAGGAGGUGGAGCUUGCAGUGAGCUGAGAUCAGGCCACUACACUCCAGCCUGGGUUACAGAGCAAGACUGUCUCAAAAAAAAAAAAAAAAAAGUAAUAAUAAAUAAAAAUAAAAAAUACUGAGUAGUUCACUAUUUUUUUUUUUUUUUUUUUUGAGACGGAGUUUCGCUCUGUCACCCAGGCUGGAGUGCAGUGGCGUGAUCUCGGCUCACUGCAAGCUCCACCUCCUGGGUUCAGGCCAUUCUCCUGCCUCAG